Molecule: long non-coding RNA, 403 nt
Filed under: Musa acuminata (dwarf banana)
Lineage: Eukaryota; Viridiplantae; Streptophyta; Magnoliopsida; Zingiberales; Musaceae
Description: long non-coding RNA (MACU_LNC002930)
Source: RNAcentral
CCGACUGCACUUCUUUCCUACUCCAGCCGAAGCAUUCGCCUCAGCGCCACGGUGGCCAAGUACUCCCCCACCGCCGGCGCGUCCUUCUUCAAGGAGAACCUCGGCAGCGGCAGCGCGCUCGGGGAGGGCGAGUUCGAGAAGCCCGUCCCUGCGUACACCUGCGCCGCUGCCUCUCCCCUCUUCGGCAUCUCGCCGCCUUUCCUGCCCAUCCGGCGGUUUCCGCCGGCGGAGUCGGCUCUCUUGGUCGGCUUCGCCCACCGCUCGCGCUGCUUCCUGCCCUCCGGCGGAGGCCGGCGGUGGGAGACCGGACUGGGUUUCCGGCGGGGGGCGAGGGCGGGGAUGGGCGCUUCGAGGAAGUUAUGGGGUCGCAACACCCGGGUGGUCAUGGCGGUGGAUGGCAAGC